This is a non-coding RNA of Prunus avium (sweet cherry), 2692 nucleotides long. The record is from RefSeq and is a predicted model, not a curated record. Lineage: Eukaryota; Viridiplantae; Streptophyta; Magnoliopsida; Rosales; Rosaceae.
UUUUUUUUUAAACUAAGAUAGAUAUGUGUAGGUCACUUUAAAAAUUUUGGGCCCUGGGCUUGUGCCCCGCUCGCCCUGGGCCAGGGCCGGCACACCGCCGCCUCGCCUCCCCUCUCUCAGCCUCGAUUACCCUCUCGCCGUCGACCCUCUGAGACUCAACCCUACUCUCUGGUCUCAGUCUCUCUCUCUCUCUCUCUCUCUCUCUCUCUCUCUCUCUCUCUCUCUCAUCUCAUCAUCUCAGCCUCACAUCUCUCAUCGAUUUGAAGCUUAUCAGUGGCCUCUGAAUCGCCAUCUCCUCCUCCUCAUCAGGGAUUGUUUGCUGAGCUUGGAUUGGAGGCUUGGAGCUGUUGUUGCUGGCUGGCUUUAUAGAGCUGAGGUUGAUCUCUAUUCCAAUGACUCCGAGUUUCGUAUUUGAACCCCCAAGCGAUGAAGAAUAUUCGGAUGGAGAACAAGGUCUCGGUGAUGGAAAUUUUCAAUCCUCAUGGGACUUUGCAUCUUACUUUGAAAUUGUCUCCCAAGAACACGUCCGUGGAAGCACCACCUCCGUUGAUUUCAAGAUCACCAAAGCCCUGCAGCAACAACUAAUCUUACACCAUAGUGCUGCUGAAGAAGAUGAUGAGGGUAUUAGCUCGGAAUGCGAAUUCGACAAACAAGAAGAUUAUAAACAGCCAGAAUCCGACAAGGAAGAAUACCAGGAGGAAGGUGAUAAUGAUUAUAAUUCUCCUUCUAAUGUGGAUUUGACCAGCUGGGUUCGACGUCCAUGGGACCAUACUAAGCCCGCUCCAAUUCAGCCUGAAGAUGAAGAGGAAGUCGAUGAUGAUUCUCCUCCUAAUAUUGCUGAUGACAAUAAUCAGCCAUUUUUUGCUCCGUCAGAGGGAAUGUCGUUUCAUGCAAAUUCAUUCAUAGAGUUGAAUUUGUCACGCCCUUUGCUUCGCGCUUGUGAGAAAUUGGGCCAUACCAAGCCCACUCCAAUUCAGGCAGCGUGCAUACCAUUAGCCCUGGCCGGGCGUGACAUAUGUGGGAGUGCCAUUACUGGUUCCGGGAAGACGGCUGCCUUUGCAUUACCAACUUUGGAGAGACUAUUGUUCCGCCCCAAGCGGGUGCCAGCUAUAAGGGUCCUUGUUUUGACCCCAACCAGGGAACUCGGGCUUCAGGUUCUAAGUAUGAUUGAGAAACUUGCCCAGUUUACGGAUAUAAGAUGUUGCCAAGCUGUUGGAGGGCUUCCAUUAAAGGCGCAAGAGGCAGCCUUGAGGUCAAAGCCAGAUAUUGUUGUGGCUACUCCAGGACGCAUUAUAGAUCAUUUACAUAAUUCUAUGUCUGUGGAUUUGGAAGAUCUCGCUGUUCUAAUUCUUGACGAGGCAGAUCGACUUUUGGAGAUUGGAUUUAGUGCUGAAAUUCGCGAGCUGAUUCGUUUAUGCCCCAAAAGGAGACAGACCAUGCUAUUUUCAGCUACUAUGACUACUGAAGUUGAUGAACUUGUUAAGCUUUCUCUUACCAAACCACUACGUCUCUCAGCCGACCCAUCUGCUAAACGGCCAGUGGCACUAACUGAGGAGGUGGUUAGGAUACGACGAAUGCGUGAAGUAAAUAAGGAAGCAGUUCUACUUGCAUUGUGUUCAAAGACAUUCACUUCUAGAGUGAUAAUAUUCAGUGGCACAAAACUGGCUGCACAUAGGUUGAAGAUUUUAUUUGGGUUAGCUGGCUUUAAAGCAGCUGAGCUUCAUGGAAAUCUUUCUCAAGACCAGCGCCUACAUGCGUUGGAACUUUUCAGGAAGCAGAAAGUUGAUUUUUUGAUUGCAACUGAAUUGGUUUCCCGGGGCAUUGACAUUGCUGGUGUUCAGACAGUUAUCAACUAUGAAUGUCCUACUCAUCUUACAAGCUAUGUUCAUCGAGUGGGUCGUACAGCAAGGGCUGGUAGAGAAGGUUAUGCUGUUACUUUUGUGACAGAUAAUGACCGGUCUCUUUUAAAAACCAUCACAAAAAGAGCUGGUUCAAAACUGAAGAGUCGAAUUGUUGCCGAAGAAUCAAUUAUUAAGUGGUCCCGGAUAAUUGAGCAAAUGGAAGAUCAAGUGGCUGCAAUUCUGCUAGAAGAAAGGGAAGAACAAGCAUUGAGAAAAGCUGAAAUGGAAGCAACAAAGGCAGAGAAUAUGAUUGCACACAAAGAUGAAAUUUAUUCACGCCGCAAGAAGACCUGGUUUCAGACAGAAAAGCAAAAGAAGAUGGUAGUGAAUGCAGCUAAGGCAUCCCUUGGAAGAGAAAAGCAUUCUGGAAAUGAGGUAAUCAGUGCCCAACAAGCCGAAGACUUAAAAAUGAAAGUAAAGAGGAAGCAGGAGCUUGAGAAAAAUUUGCCUCGCAAGAUGCGCCGGAAAUUGGAAGCAGCUAGAGAAAUGUUAAGAGGAUGAAAAUCAAAUGGAAAGUUAAACUUACCCAUGCCACAUCACCCAACUUAAUGAUUCUUUCCAAAAAAUAGACAGCUCAGGAGGUAUACGGGGUCAUCUUAAAGUUCAGGGGGCAAACUGAGACAAAAUAGAAAGCACAUGGGGCAUCCAAAAAAAAAAAGCAUUUUUAUUAUUCUCAAAUAGUUCUAUCAGACAUAUUUUUAUUGUUUUUGUUUUUGUUUUAAAAACUAUUUUGCAAUUAAGCUUCUAGAUGCAUUUUCGAAUCUUGCAAUUAAGUUUUGGAAAUUCUACUA